UACGUAGGGGACGAGCGUUGUCCGGAUUCAUUGGGCGUAAAGCGCGCGUAGGCGGCUCGGUAAGUCGGUCGUGAAAUGCCGGGGCUCAACCCCGGGACUGCGUCCGAUACUCCCGAGCUGGAGGCAGGUAGGGGAGAUCGGAAUUCCUGGUGUAGCGGUGAAAUGCGCAGAUAUCAGGAGGAACACCGGUGGCGAAGGCGGUUCUCUGGGACGGUACUGACGCUGAGACGCGAAAGCGUGGGUAGCAAACAGG
This 253-nucleotide ribosomal RNA is filed under the name uncultured bacterium. RNAcentral describes it as "partial 16S ribosomal RNA". It matches the Rfam family "Bacterial small subunit ribosomal RNA", at positions 524 to 776 of the family's 1533-position model. The record is from RNAcentral.